CUGUGUCCUGUCCACAGAGUUGUCCAGUUAGUCUGAUGAUCUCAGUGACUGCUUGGUCCUUCUCAGCCCUGCCGGCCAGAUUCAUAGAAGAUGUGAGAAAUCAUGAGGCCACAGAAGGGGCCACGGCUGUGCUGCAGUGUGAGCUGAGCAAGGCGGCCCCUGUGGAGUGGCGGAAGGGGUCUGAGACCCUCAGAGAUGGGGACAGAUAUAGCCUGAGGCAGGACGGGACGAGGUGUGAGCUGCAGAUUCAUGGCCUGGCUAUGGAGGACACUGGAGAGUAUUUGUGUGUGUGCGGGCAGGAGAGGACCUCAGCUACACUCACUGUCAGGGCCCUGCCGGCCAGAUUCAUAGACAACAUGACAAACCAGGAGG
This 372-nucleotide small RNA is filed under the name Pongo abelii (Sumatran orangutan). Its description in RNAcentral is "retained intron". Lineage: Eukaryota; Metazoa; Chordata; Mammalia; Primates; Hominidae. The record is from RNAcentral.